This 497-nucleotide ribosomal RNA is filed under the name uncultured bacterium. Its description in RNAcentral is "partial 16S ribosomal RNA". It matches the Rfam family "Bacterial small subunit ribosomal RNA", at positions 28 to 507 of the family's 1533-position model. The record is from RNAcentral.
GAUGAACGCUGGCGGCGUGCCUAAUACAUGCAAGUCGAGCGAACAGAUGAGGAGCUUGCUCCUCUUACGUUAGCGGCGGACGGGUGAGUAACACGUGGAUAACCUACCUAUAAGACUGGGAUAACGUCGGGAAACCGGAGCUAAUACCGGAUAAUAUAUUGAACCGCAUGGUUCAAUAGUGAAAGACGGUUUUGCUGUCACUUAUAGAUGGAUCCGCGCCGCAUUAGCUAGUUGGUAAGGUAACGGCUUACCAAGGCAACGAUGCGUAGCCGACCUGAGAGGGUGAUCGGCCACAGUGGAACUGAGACACGGUCCAGACCCCUACGGGAGGCAGAAGUAGGGAAUCUUACGCAAUGGGCGAAAGCCUGACGGAGCAACGCCGCGUGAGUGAUGAAGGUCUUCGGAUCGUAAAACUCUGUUAUUAGGGAAGACCAAAUGUGUAAGUAACUAUGCACGUCUUGACGGUACCUAAUCAGAAAGCCACGGCUAACUACGUG